CCUACGGGAGGCUGCAGUGAGGAAUAUUGGUCAAUGGGCUUACGCCUGAACCAGCCAAGUCGCGUGCGGGAAGACUGCCCUAUGGGUUGUAAACCUCUUUUGUCAGGGAGCAACGCCGGCUACGUGUAGCCGGACUGAGAGUACCUGAAGAAAAAGCAUCGGCUAACUCCGUGCCAGCAGCCGCGGUAAUACGGAGGAUGCGAGCGUUAUCCGGAUUUAUUGGGUUUAAGGGGUGCGUAGGCGGAAUGCCAAGUCAGCGGUAAAAUCGCGGGGCUCAACCUCGCUCCGCAGUUGAAACUGGCGUGCUUGAGUGGGCGAGAAGUAUGCGGAAUGCGUGGUGUAGCGGUGAAAUGCAUAGAUAUCACGAAGAACUCCGAUUGCGAAGGCAGCAUACCGGCGCCCAACUGACGCUGAAGCAAGAAAGCGUGGGUAUCGAACAGGAUUAGAUACCCCAGUAGUC
This 460-nucleotide ribosomal RNA is filed under the name uncultured bacterium. Its description in RNAcentral is "partial 16S ribosomal RNA". It matches the Rfam family "Bacterial small subunit ribosomal RNA", at positions 338 to 795 of the family's 1533-position model. The record is from RNAcentral.